This 250-nucleotide ribosomal RNA is filed under the name uncultured bacterium. Its description in RNAcentral is "partial 16S ribosomal RNA". It matches the Rfam family "Bacterial small subunit ribosomal RNA", at positions 524 to 773 of the family's 1533-position model. The record is from RNAcentral.
CACGUAGGGGGCGAGCGUUGUUCGGAAUUACUGGGCGUAAAGGGCAUGUAGGCGGUCUUGUAAGCUUGGCGUGAAAGACCAUGGCUCAACCAUGGGAUUGCGUUGAGAACUGCGAGGCUUGAGUGACGGAGAGGGAGCUAGAAUUCCUGGUGUAGGGGUGGAAUCUGUAGAGAUCAGGAAGAAUACCAAUGGCGAAGGCAAGCUCCUGGCCGAUGACUGACGCUGAGGUGCGAAAGUGUGGGGAUCAAAC